UACGGAGGAGGCAAGCGUUAUCCGGAAUUAUUGGGCGUAAAGCGUCCGCAGGUGGCGAUUCAAGUCUGCGGUUAAAGACUGGGGCUUAACCCUGGAAAGGCCGUGGAAACUGAAACGCUAGAGUGCAGUAGGGGUAGAGGGAAUUCCCGGUGUAGCGGUGAAAUGCGUAGAGCUCGGGAAGAACAUCGGUGGCGAGAGCGCUCUGCUGGACUGCAACUGACACUCAGGGACGAAAGCUAGGGGAGCGAAUGGG
This 253-nucleotide ribosomal RNA is filed under the name uncultured bacterium. RNAcentral describes it as "partial 16S ribosomal RNA". It matches the Rfam family "Bacterial small subunit ribosomal RNA", at positions 524 to 776 of the family's 1533-position model. The record is from RNAcentral.